RNAcentral lists this long non-coding RNA (1099 nucleotides) under Sus scrofa (pig). RNAcentral's name for it is "lncRNA (ENSSSCG00035077683.1)". The record is from RNAcentral. Lineage: Eukaryota; Metazoa; Chordata; Mammalia; Artiodactyla; Suidae.
CUCUGGGCCGAGGGGCGACCACGGGCUCUGGGCAGAGUGGGAACGAGCUCCCGCUGUGAGGUUCCUCUUCUGAGACAGUGAGUCUCGGGCUCCUCCCCAGCUUCCGCGGGUCUCCCCGCAGCCCCACCUGCCACUGGGCUUCCCGUUCCCUCUUCAGACCCAGGACGCCCAGACACCCCGGGUCUGAGAGAUGCGGCCCCUGAUGCUGCUGCCGCUGCUGUGGGCAGGGUCCCUGGCUCGGCACCUGAGCUACCGGCUGGACGUGCAGGAGACCGUGACGGUGCAGGAGGGCCUGUGUGUCCGCGUGCCCUGCUCCUUCUUCCAUUCUUGGAUCUCCUGGUCUGCGCCUGUUCACGGCUACUGGUUCCGCGAAGAGGCCACACCUGUUCCGGGAUGAUCCCGUGGCCACAAACAACCCAGCUCUUAAAGUGCGGGAGGAGACCCGGGGCCGAUUCCACCUCCUCUGGGACCCGCGGAACAAGAGCUGCUCCCUGGACAUCAGAGACGCACAAUGCCGUUUGGAAAUUAACUUCUAGAGAAAAAAAUCAUUUAUCUGAAAUGAGAGUUGCACUGAAUGAGACCAAGAGCAGAUUCAGUACUGUGGGAGAGUAAUCAGUGUGUUUGAAGGUGUAGCAGCAGCUCCUAUUGAAACUGCAGAAUCUAGAGAAAAAGGCUGGAAACGGUGAAGAGAUGCUCAGGGCCCUGCAAGAUAAUAUGCAGCAAUAUAACAUGCGUAAAAUUGGAGACCCGUGGAGUUCCCCUCGUGGCUGAGUGGUUAAAAAAUCCGACUAGGAACCAUGAGGUUGUGGGUUUGAUCCCUGGCCUCCCUCAGUGGGUUAAGGAUUUGGCCUUGCGGCGAGCUGUGGUGUAGGUCGCAGACGGGGCUCGGAUCCCACGUUGCUGUGGCUCUGGCGUAGACUGGCAGCUACAGCUCCGAUUAGACCCCUAGCCUGGGAACCUCCAUAUGCUGCGGGAGUGGUUCUAGAAAAGGCAAAAAAAAAAAAAAAAAAAAAAAAAAAUUGGAGACCCAGAGGAGAAAGAGAGGAAGAAUAGGAAAAAUAUGUAUGUAUUUGAAUAAACAGCAGCUUCAAUGUCGACA